GGCAUACUCCCCCCGUUCCGAAUUACUUGUCGCACAUAUGGAUGUAUCUGGAUGUAUUCUAAUUCUAGAUACAUCCAUUUCAGCGACAAGUAAUUUGGAACGGAGGGAGUAGAUC
Molecule: non-coding RNA, 115 nt
Organism: Triticum aestivum (bread wheat)
Lineage: Eukaryota; Viridiplantae; Streptophyta; Magnoliopsida; Poales; Poaceae
Source: Rfam